CAUCCAUCUCCAGAGGCCUUCUCAGGCGGAUGCUGGGAGGGACGGUUCUAUCAAUCAGCUCAUCGAUACUCUGAAAAAGGACAUCCAUUCUCUCAUCACAUCUCUCCGUGGGACCUUUGUUGAGACUCGUUUCGUUGUUACCGGAGUCUCGGCGAGUCCCCACUUCUUGCUCUUGUGCACCUCGCUCCGGAACUUCCCUGCGGGCGGAGGGCGAGGCAGAGACGGGAGGACGCGACGGGGAAGUGGUUUUAGGGAGAUGCAAAGAUGCACAAGAGGUAAUUGGGGAUUCCCCUCCUUCUCAUCCUUACUGCAGAAAGCAGCAGCAAGCUUCAAUGGCAAGGGAGACUCAGUUUAAUGCCCAAGCUGACCUUUGGAUUGGUGUUGCCAUUCAGCUUAUUGGCAUGGAGGUAUUGGACUUCUGUAGAGGCUGACCUUCCUUUCUAAAACGUCCACCUGUGGCAGAGCCAGGAUCCAUCACAUUCUGGGACUUACUCAACUUGAGAAGCCAAGGAUAGAUAAUUUUGUCUGAAUUAGGCUCAUCAGUGGAAAGUUGCACAAUUCACAGAAAUGCGUAUACAAAUUAGAGCUCUGCAUAUCAAACUGAGACCUCAUGAUUAGGAAGAAGGGAUUUGCAGUUAUACA
Molecule: non-coding RNA, 642 nt
Organism: Caretta caretta (loggerhead turtle)
Lineage: Eukaryota; Metazoa; Chordata; Testudines; Cheloniidae
Source: RefSeq, a predicted model, not a curated record